Molecule: ribosomal RNA, 425 nt
Filed under: uncultured bacterium
Lineage: Bacteria
Description: bacterial SSU rRNA
Rfam family: Bacterial small subunit ribosomal RNA
Source: RNAcentral
GUGGGGAAUAUUGCACAAUGGGGGAAACCCUGAUGCAGCGACGCCGCGUGAAGGAAGAAGUAUCUCGGUAUGUAAACUUCUAUCAGCAGGGAAGAAAAUGACGGUACCUGACUAAGAAGCCCCGGCUAACUACGUGCCAGCAGCCGCGGUAAUACGUAGGGGGCAAGCGUUAUCCGGAUUUACUGGGUGUAAAGGGAGCGUAGACGGAAGAGCAAGUCUGAUGUGAAAGGCUGGGGCUUAACCCCAGGACUGCAUUGGAAACUGUUUUUCUAGAGUGCCGGAGAGGUAAGCGGAAUUCCUAGUGUAGCGGUGAAAUGCGUAGAUAUUAGGAGGAACACCAGUGGCGAAGGCGGCUUACUGGACGGUAACUGACGUUGAGGCUCGAAAGCGUGGGGAGCAAACAGGAUUAGAUACCCUGGUAGUCC